RNAcentral lists this ribosomal RNA (253 nucleotides) under uncultured bacterium. RNAcentral describes it as "partial 16S ribosomal RNA". It matches the Rfam family "Bacterial small subunit ribosomal RNA", at positions 524 to 776 of the family's 1533-position model. The record is from RNAcentral.
UACGAAGGGGGCUAGCGUUGCUCGGAAUCACUGGGCGUAAAGGGUGCGUAGGCGGGUCUUUAAGUCAGGGGUGAAAUCCUGGAGCUCAACUCCAGAACUGCCUUUGAUACUGAGGAUCUUGAGUUCGGGAGAGGUGAGUGGAACUGCGAGUGCAGAGGUGAAAUUCGUAGAUAUUCGCAAGAACACCAGUGGCGAAGGCGGCUCACUGGCCCGAUACUGACGCUGAGGCACGAAAGCGUGGGGAGCAAACAGG